UCAGGGCCUCAUAGUCCAGAGCCCUAAGCGCGAACAGCUGCCCAUUGUCUGCAUUGAUGGAGAUAAGCGAGGAGAGGGCCAGUUGUGGGUUGUGGGUGGGCAGCAGCGAGUAGGUGAUGUGGGCAUUGGAGCCUGAGUCUGAGUCUGUGGCACUGAUGGUGCCUAUGUGCAGGGCGGGGCUGUUGUUCUCCUGGACAAACAGGGUGUAGGAGGUUUCAGUGAAGGUGGGGGCAUUGUCGUUGACAUCGGACACCUGCACAGUUAUGGUGUGCUGGGUUGUGAGCCUGGGUGUGCCCAUGUCGGUAAC
Molecule: long non-coding RNA, 307 nt
Organism: Phodopus roborovskii (desert hamster)
Lineage: Eukaryota; Metazoa; Chordata; Mammalia; Rodentia; Cricetidae
Exons: 3
Source: RefSeq, a predicted model, not a curated record